Pteropus alecto (black flying fox) is the source of this 119-nucleotide non-coding RNA. The record is from Rfam. Lineage: Eukaryota; Metazoa; Chordata; Mammalia; Chiroptera; Pteropodidae.
GUCUACGGCCAUGCCACCCCGAACAAGCCCAAUCCUGUCUGAUCUCGGAAGCUAAGCAGGGUCGGGCCUGGUUAGUACUUGGAUGGGAGACCACCUAGGAAGACCGGGUGCUUUAGGCG